RNAcentral lists this ribosomal RNA (394 nucleotides) under uncultured bacterium. RNAcentral's name for it is "partial 16S ribosomal RNA". It matches the Rfam family "Bacterial small subunit ribosomal RNA", at positions 523 to 918 of the family's 1533-position model. The record is from RNAcentral.
AUACGGAGGAUGCAAGCGUUAUCCGGAUUUAUUGGGUUUAAAGGGUGCGUAGGCGGAUGAUUAAGCGUGAGGUGAAAUGCCACUGCUCAACAGUGGAACUGCCUCGCGAACUGGUUGUCUUGAAUGCUCCUGCCGUGGGAGGAAUGUGUGGUGUAGCGGUGAAAUGCAUAGAGAUCACACAGAACACCGAUUGCGAAGGCAUCUCACGAAGGGGUGAUUGACGCUGAGGCACGAAAGCGUGGGGAUCAAACAGGAGUAGAUACCCUGGUAGUCCACGCAGUAAACGAUGAUAACUAACCGCUGGGUCGUAGUGAUUCAGUGGCCAAGCGAAAGCGAUAAGUUAUCCACCUGGGGAGUACGACCGCAAGGUUGAAACUCAAAGGAAUUGACGGGG